Molecule: ribosomal RNA, 251 nt
Filed under: uncultured bacterium
Lineage: Bacteria
Description: partial 16S ribosomal RNA
Rfam family: Bacterial small subunit ribosomal RNA
Source: RNAcentral
UACGAAGGGGGCUAGCGUUGCUCGGAAUCACUGGGCGUAAAGGGUGCGUAGGCGGGUUUUUAAGUCAGAGGUGAAAUCCUGGAGCUCAACUCCAGAACUGCCUUUGAUACUGAAAGUCUUGAGUAUGGGAGAGGUGAGUGGAACUGCGAGUGUAGAGGUGAAAUUCGUAGAUAUUCGCAAGAACACCAGUGGCGAAGGCGGCUCACUGGCCCAUAACUGACGCUGAGGCACGAAAGCGUGGGGAGCAACAG